Non-coding RNA from Malus domestica (apple), 1734 nucleotides. The record is from RefSeq and is a predicted model, not a curated record. Lineage: Eukaryota; Viridiplantae; Streptophyta; Magnoliopsida; Rosales; Rosaceae.
CGACCCGACCCGUUAAAAUUAGUAUUCGGGUGGGUGGUUAACGGGUCGGGUAGUUAACGGGUCAACCCGUUAGUCACCCGUUACAUAACGGGUCAGUUUGGGUGAACCCGCGAAACCCAUUAGCCACCCGUUAAGACCCGUUUGUAAGGAUUUUUGUGUAAUUUCAAUAGCCCUAAUUCAAAACCUCAGGACCUCAGCCGUCAGCCCUCACGUUCCUCACCUCUCUCGCUGCCUCACACGCCAUUGCUCUCUGAGACUGAGAUCGCUGUGCAGCCUGUGCUCCUUCCUUCUAGCUCCGGUUAUCUCCCUCAUCUUCUUCCCUCAAAAACUUUACUGAACUCCACCACUCUCUCUCUGAGUAUUGAUUUCUUUGUUCAUGGGUUUUGUUCAUGCGUUUUGUUCAUGGGUUUGAAUCUUUGGAAUCUGUUUGGACUACUUUUGACUCCUCGGUUUGUCGCUGCACUCUAAAAUGGUCAUUAUCUGUAGGAAGGGCUUUGAUAAUUUCUUCCAUUUACAAAUUUUCUAUGGCGAGUGCGGAUAAUCAUGGAGGUAGGAACACGGAGCAGGUCUCAUGAUGAUGAUAUAUUUGUUUCCCUUAUACAUUGGAGUCUCUGUUAAGCUUUCGGGUGUAUAAAUAGAAGGCAGUUCCUGUAUAAUUCUUCUGGAUAAUCACUUGUUUCGGCUUAGCCUUUGUAUGGGGAAUUGAAAGGUAUUCACAAUAUAGAAAAUAGAAAAUUUCUUUGGCAUGCUGUGUGAUUUGAUUCAAGACCUCCUUUGUAGUAGCGCUUCGAACUCUAUAUUCUCGCUCUCUCUCUCUCUCUCUCUUCUUUUUUCCUCUAUCUUUAAUGGAAAACAAAAAUAGAAACAUUUCGAAACGGACCCUUUGUGUUUCCAUCCUCAGUUUAUGUUUCGUAAUUUGUCUGUUCUCCCAUAGAUAGCGUGUUGCUCAUAGCUUGUUAGAGCAUGUGUUGUUGUGAAAUGUCCGCACUCCGCAUGCAUGCUUUUUAUGCACAAGUCCUUGAACUUCUUGAAUUUGGAGGCUCUCACAUUCAAAAGUUCGGCAUGUCUCUUUCAGAUUGUGUGGUUUGAUUCUAGGCGGACUCUGAUUCACAAACAAAUACAAUUGUAGUGUUAAUACUCAACUCUGGGGUUUUUUUAAUUUUGAGUGGAGAUUGAAAACCCAGAAAUCAAAAUUUGGAUUUUUUACGAAUUUUGAUUCGAAUCUUCUGAUUUGUAUUGUCUUAGAAAAACCCGCUUGAUGGGAUAUAUGGUUAAUUGUGAUCAAAUAUGAUUUGUUUGUUUGGUGUUAAAGUAAUUGUUGUUUCUGUAGUUUAGAAUACACCGACUAUCGAGUGUAGGCAGAUAAACAUCAAAUGAUUUAAGAUAUAUGCUGUCUUCUUCGGAAUAUGGAUUGUCUGUCUCAAGCUUGUUUUUCGUUCGAUCGUUUUGUGCGUUGAGAUGUCUCACGGACAAUUUACAGUACUAUUUCUUGGAGUGAGUUAGUUUAGUUUUCUGUUAAGCAACAGGGCAUGGCAUGCAAUGCAGUUGUUUCAGAAAUUUGUAGUCCUACAAGGAGUUCAAGAUAGGUUCUUCCGACUUGAUCUCUACAAUUGGAACAUUGGUCCAUUGUGUUGUUUCUUACUUUCCUGUAAUUUGCUUUGACGUCGUAAUAUGCUGGUGAGGCAUGACAGCAGGCAGAGCUGUUGGCAUAAUACCCCCAAUGGAACAGAACCU